RNAcentral lists this unclassified non-coding RNA (252 nucleotides) under Hevea brasiliensis (rubber tree). Lineage: Eukaryota; Viridiplantae; Streptophyta; Magnoliopsida; Malpighiales; Euphorbiaceae. The record is from RNAcentral.
GGGGAGACGUCUCUCCCGCGCAGAGACGGUGGGUAUUGUGGUCAGCAGAGAUUUGAAGGCGAAUCGAUUUAUGAAAUUCGAUAUUGACGAUGGCACUGGUUGCAUCCCUUGUAUCCUAUGGCUCAACCAUGAGAGUUCGCGUUACUUCUCCCGUCGUUGCCCAUCAAAUGUUCGACUUAUUGCCCAAAUGGCGGCCGAUUUUGCUUCUCAAGUCCAGCUUGGGGUUAUUGCUCGAGUUCGCGGGAAGAUGAG